Gallus gallus (chicken) is the source of this 1506-nucleotide long non-coding RNA. The record is from Ensembl. Lineage: Eukaryota; Metazoa; Chordata; Aves; Galliformes; Phasianidae.
GGAAAGGAGAAACGAAACCAUAUGUAUGGGGACACCAGGGAUGGAUUCCAGGGAAGUUUUGUUCUAGGGUAAUGUUAAACAUUUCACUGGCACUUUUUUUUCUCCAUACGUGUGUGUGGGGUUGGCCUUUGUUUUCAGGAGGCCGCCGUAGCUAUCCCCCAGCGCCCAGAGCAAAUAAACCCCAAACAAAGCAUCCCAGCAGCUCUCAGGGCUCAGUUCAGCCUCCUGCCUCUUUUUCCUUUGUGUAGGGGCCGCUGGGGAAAGAAAGCAAUGUUUAUCUUUGAGACACAGAGCUGGGCUGAAAUCAUCUGUAUUUUUUUAAUUAUGGGGGAUUUGAAGCCCAAAAGGGUUGUUGGAGAGCUGAAGUUCCUCGUGUUGCUUUUCCUGCAGCCAUUAGUGCAGGAGAGGAGGUGUCCCUGGGAAGAUGCUCAGGCAGGGAUGCAUUUUGGAAAGUAGCCCAUCUGGUUCCCCUCUUGACUCACGGGAAGCAACAUCUGCUCCAUGGAGGUUCAACCAAAGCACUGCAUUUAGCAGCAUCGUUUGGUUUUGCAACGGCAUCUCAGCCUGGAGCUGAGCAGAACUGUUCCCGCUGACCGCCGGAAGCAGAAGGGAGCCGGCUGCUGACUUUCCUAAAUAUUGAUGCUUUAGAAAACGACUAUUUCGUGCUUCGUAAACAGCUGAGUGAGGGGCACGUCUCAUUCGCCACCCAAACGGUGCCGAUGGUGCUGCGGGAGGGCGGGACUCUCGGCGGAGGCCACAAACAGACCGACAGCGAAGCACAGCCGGCGGCGCAGCGAGGGAGCCGCGCUCGCGGGGACCCUGAAGAAACUCCUCUGCACUUCAGAAAGCAGGCGGUGCGGUGCCGGUUGGUUGGCUGAGAGCCGCCGGGCUGCGACAGGCGCGAGACGUUCCCGCGGCAGCGCGCUGUGCGCUGUGAGAAGAGCCGGAGCCGGGAAACCUGAAACGCCAUUCUCUUCCCGCCAGAGCAAAGCCCGCCGUCACCCCGAGCGGUCGCGGCUCCGGGCGGCGGCGGACGGCUGUGGGAGCAGAGCGGCGGGCUGCCCCUAGGUGGCGCUCUGCUGCAGCGGAGGGUCGGAGCGGGAAGGGCGAGAGGUGCCGCGGCCCAGUGGAGCCUUUGUCCUGAGAAGCCAGAUGCCGAGCCACCAGCCCUGGGCACUGCUCGGCACUUGCCCUGCUGCCUGCAGCUGCUGGCAGGGAUGCUCCCCUUGGCAAACCGAGGCUGAUGACCAUAAGCAGAGCUGGCUGGAAACCACAACACUUCUGGAGGAGUGAGCUGGGCUCUUGCAAAUGCAUCGAAGCUCUUGCUGGACACCACAGGAACAGGGAAUAUUCCUGAACGCUCUCCUUCCUACUGAUGUUCUGGUAUUUGAUAUUCAGAGAACAGGCAUGUAGCACCCUGCUGCUCUGGGAUCGAGGGGUGCAGGGGUAGAAUGUGGCUCCUAUGCUUGGGUUUGUUGUCCUGGUAUCCCCUGCCAGCACGCUGCU